Molecule: ribosomal RNA, 253 nt
Filed under: uncultured bacterium
Lineage: Bacteria
Description: partial 16S ribosomal RNA
Rfam family: Bacterial small subunit ribosomal RNA
Source: RNAcentral
UACAGAGGGGGCAAGCGUUGUUCGGAAUUACUGGGCGUAAAGGGCGCGUAGGUGGCCUUCUAAGUUGAACGUGAAAUCCCUGGGCUCAACCCAGGAACUGCGUCCAAGACUGGGAGGCUUGAAUCCGGGAGAGGGAUGCGGAAUUCCAGGUGUAGCGGUGAAAUGCGUAGAUAUCAAGCGGAACACCGGUGGCGAAGGCGGCCUUCUGGACAGUGACUGACGCUGAGACGCGAAAGCGUGGGGAGCAAACAGG